AAUGAUCUCAGUACAAUCUCCCAUCAAUCGAAUGGCACCACUCGACGUUAUCUUGCAUAGCUUACGCGCUACCCGAGUGGAAAUUUUAGUCAGGUCUUGAUCAGACAGUGAUCAGGUUACCUUAUCAGAUUUUGAUCAGAUUGGAUUUUCUUUCGCAUUCUGACGAAACAUUAAACAUCACCGAGAACAACACAGAUUUAUAAAAAUGUCCGAAUAUGAUGAGGUGUAUGAAACCGUCCGAAUGGGAGCGGUCGGGGCUGGUGGCAUUUUCGGGACAGCAAACUAUGGCCUCGGCGGAGGGGCUGUGGGUGGCAUAGCUGGUGGUGCAAUCACCGAUACUGUUUUCUCCGUAGUGACAACCAGACCUCACGGUUAUAUUAAAGACAUGACUGACACCAUGAUGGAUGGUGCCAAAGGCAGAGUGCCAAUUGUAUCGGCAACAAGGGCAGGUCGCAGGUUGGUAACAGAUGGCGUCAGUGGAAUGGUGGCCGGGAAACUUUUCUGCCCAGGCAACGCUACCUUCGUACUUUCAUAAUAACUUACUAAAUAUUGGGAAUUUUAGCCCAAGAAUAUCAACAUAAUGACGUCAAAAGUUUUUGAUAACACUUCUUUAAUGCGUCAGCAAUUUAAAAAAUUAUCCACUGAUAGUGAGAAACGAAAAUGAAUCCUUCAUCAUGAGUGUAAACAACGGAUGGAUCAAGAGUCGUUUUGACAAUAUUUUAGAAGAAAAAUAAACAAUUGUUGUUAUCAAGAUACCCAAA
This is a long non-coding RNA of Diachasma alloeum, 761 nucleotides long. RefSeq lists it as uncharacterized. The record is from RefSeq and is a predicted model, not a curated record. NCBI's taxonomy places the organism in Eukaryota, Metazoa, Arthropoda, Insecta, Hymenoptera, Braconidae. The transcript is spliced from 2 exons.